This 304-nucleotide ribosomal RNA is filed under the name uncultured Hyphomicrobiales bacterium. RNAcentral's name for it is "bacterial SSU rRNA". It matches the Rfam family "Bacterial small subunit ribosomal RNA", at positions 25 to 358 of the family's 1533-position model. Lineage: Bacteria; Pseudomonadati; Pseudomonadota; Alphaproteobacteria; Hyphomicrobiales. The record is from RNAcentral.
CAGAACGAACGCUGGUCUCCAGGCUUAACACAUGCAAGUCGAGCGCCCCGCAAGGGGAGCGGCAGACGGGUGAGUAACACGUGGGAACGUGCCCUUUGGUUCGGAACAACCCAGGGAAACUUGGGCUAAUACCGGAUACGUCCGUAAGGAGAAAGAUUUAUCGCCAAAGGAUCGGCCCGCGUCUGAUUAGCUGGUUGGUGAGGUAACGGCUCACCAAGGCGACGAUCAGUAGCUGGUCUGAGAGGAUGAUCAGCCUCACUGGGACUGAGACACGGCCCAAACUCCUACGGGAGGCAGCAGUGGG